GGUCAAGCUACAAAGGGCAGAUGGUGGAUACCUAGC
This 36-nucleotide ribosomal RNA is filed under the name Oscillatoria sp. SR4 (SE). RNAcentral's name for it is "partial 23S ribosomal RNA". Lineage: Bacteria; Bacillati; Cyanobacteriota; Cyanophyceae; Oscillatoriales; Oscillatoriaceae. The record is from RNAcentral.